AUUCCAUCGUAUGGGUAGACCGUACAUUCUGUUUCACAUUCUGUUGAUGGACACGGGUUGUUUCUGCGAACUGUUGACACUAUGAUUGAUGAUUUUGUGAACCCGGGGGGCAAAUAUCCGUUAGGUUCUUGAUCUCAGCUCUUUGCCUUUGCACCUGGAAGUGGACAUUUAUUUUUUCAGAGAUGUUCAUCUUCUCUCAUUUCAGAGGGAACUCAGGUUCAUCGUUGAAUAACUAGACGAUGCAGUAGAAGAAAAUAAAAUUUACCCAGAAUGCUGAUAUGCAGGAUUGGUAAUUCACAUUUUUUUGUAGGGUGGCCUUUUGUGUGUGGUGCUUCUCCGUCCACACAGAAUUAUUCUGUACCUGUGUGGUCUUUGGUGGUAUGGGCUGGCUCCUCAUCUAAAAGUGGGAAAACCUUUGUCUAAGGCACUCGGACCGAGGGAGGAGGUGCCACCGGGUCUUUGUGAUCCAGCAGAAUGUGCACUCCUUCCAGGAGGAUCCUCAGGGGGCAGCACGUGUCCCCCGCCUGGGACUGCUGUGUCCUGCUCGGCCUGUUAUCUGCCCCCUCGCUGGACCGGCCGAGUCCCGGGAGGGCAGCCCAGCACAGCGCCUGGUGGUGCUCGAGGCUCAGUAGGGAAGUGACUGAAUGUGUGAGUGAGUGAAGUUAGCAGGCCUGCUGAUCGAGGCUCGUCGUGGUAGGGAGUGGCGAGGGCCCUCCCCAGCGGGACCCUUUUGCCUGCAUCCCGCCCCGGCCGUGCUGCACAGCACUGUCCCUCUUCUGUGUCCUCGCUGUCCCCCAGCCGUGGAGGCUCUCCCUCUUCACACGGCCCUGUUUACGCCCCCGGGAGGGCCACGCAUGUCCCCGCUCUGCCCAGACAGUUGCCGAGGGUCUCCUGUGUGUCACGCGCCAGGCUCGGGGCCGCGCUGUGGGGUCACCCAAAUGGGGCCUCUUUAGGGAGACACACUUGUACAAAAGGACAUGGUAAUUUCAGACAGUUAGACACGGGAUGAAGAAAAACAUCUUUUUCCUUUUUUUUUUUUUUGUCUUCUUUGCAUCUCUCUUAAAAAAAAAAACUAAUCUAAUGAGCUGUUUCGGGGCUGCUUGGAGGCCAGGGAUGUGUUCAGUUACGGGGUUUGAAUGCCAGCCUCCCCACUUGUUGGCACUGAUCUGGGCAAUGACCUUACGCUCUGUGAGCCUCAGUUUUCCUGUCUGUGGGCCUGGUUCAUGGUUUUAAAAUGACAAAUAGGAGUUCCCAUUGUGGCUCAGUGGUUAUGAACCUGACUAGUAUCCAUGAGGAUGCGGGUUUGAUCCCUGGCCUCGCUCAGUGGCUUAAGGAUCUGGCGUUGCCAUGAGCUGUGUGUAGGCUGGGGAUGCGGCUGGGAUCCCAUGUUUGCUGUGGCUAUGGCUGGCAGCUGAUUUGAUCCCAAGCCUGGGAAUUUCCAUAUGCUGCAGGUGCGACUCCCCC
This 1464-nucleotide long non-coding RNA is filed under the name Sus scrofa (pig). Its description in RNAcentral is "lncRNA (ENSSSCG00065007447.1)". Lineage: Eukaryota; Metazoa; Chordata; Mammalia; Artiodactyla; Suidae. The record is from RNAcentral.